This 463-nucleotide ribosomal RNA is filed under the name uncultured bacterium. RNAcentral's name for it is "partial 16S ribosomal RNA". It matches the Rfam family "Bacterial small subunit ribosomal RNA", at positions 28 to 507 of the family's 1533-position model. The record is from RNAcentral.
GACGAACGCUGGCGGCGUGCUUAACACAUGCAAGUCGAACGGAAAGGCCUUUUCGGAGGUACUCGAGUGGCGAACGGGUGAGUAACACGUGGGUGAUCUGCCCUGCACUCUGGGAUAAGACUGGGAAACUGGGUCUAAUACCGGAUAGGACCGCGCAUGGGAGUGUGUGGUGGGGAGAGUUUUGGUUGUGGGGGGACGCGGCGGCCUGUCAGCUAGUUGGUGGGGUAAUGGCCUACCAAGCAAGCGCGGGGUGGCCGGACUGAGAGGUUGGUCGGCCCCUUUGGGAUUGGGUACCGCCCCAGCUUCUUCGGGGGGCCGGAGGUGGGGAAUUUUGCCAAAUGGGCGCAAGCCUGAGCAGGAGACGCGGCUUCGGGGUUGCGGGCUUCGGGGUGGUAACCGCCUUUCGUCAGGGCGGAAGCGUUUUGUGACGGUAGCUGGAGAAGAAGCACCGGCUAACUACGUG